CACUUGACAUACAAAAAAAAAGAAAGUAAAUGCUCAACACACGCACACACACACACACACACACACACAUACAAAAAAAUGUUCCCAGCGCCCAAUGAACGUUUGAAAAAAGAAAAACAAAAAACAAAAAGUCGGAACGUUCUCAACACCAAAUAAACUUUUAAAACAAGCAAAAAAUAAAAAAAAAAGACAAUCGUUCUCAGCGCCAGACGUUCCCAGCGCCGGUACGAUGUGUGGAAAGGUACAGAAAAAAAGAUAGAAAAGGUAAAGAAAAAUAGAAAAAAAGAUAGAAAAUGAUAGAAAAGAUAGAAAAACGGGAAAAAUAUAGAAAAGAGAAAAAAUAUAGAAAAAAAGAUAGAAAAAGAUAGAAAAGGUAUGAAAAAGAUAGAAAAAAUGAUAGAAAAGAUAGAGAAAAUAUAGGAAAAAGUAGAAAAAUAUAGAAAAGAUGGAAAAAAGAUAGAAAAAGAUAGAAAAUGUUAGAAAAGAUAAAAAAAAAGACAAAGAAAAAAAUGUAGAUGUGCAAAAAAUGAGAAAAGUUAUUAAUCUAGAAAAAAAGCGAGAGUGUAAUAGAAAAAAAAAACCAGUAACGUUGGGAAAUGUGCUAAGUGCUAAGUGGGUGGGAAAUGGGUGGCUGAGGGAAGAGAGGAAGACCCAGGACGAGAUGGAAGAACUGUAUUGUGGCGGACGGCAGGGAGAAGAACUUGGACCUUGAAGUAGCGGAGGACAGGGUUAGACGGAGGAGACUCAUCAAAAACAGCGACCCCAUAUAGAAACGGGAUAAUAAUGCUGCGGAAGAAGAAGUUGGUAAAUGUGCUAACUGAGGCAUUGGUGAUUGUGACGGCGAAAUGAAGAAACGAAGAACCGGGUGAAGAUAUUGAAAAAGGACGGAGAAUUCAGAACUAUCGAAGGAAGACGCAGAUUCCGGAGAAAACGUUGUGAAAAAUAUGCAACCUGGGAAGAAAUGCUACUGAUCAAGAUACCUCAAAAUCGGUAAUAGAAAUUGAAAAAAUGAACUUAGAACUCGAAGGAAAUAUUGAAGAGAUCAUUUAAGUGGGAAAAAGUAUUAAAAAGAGAACGACAAACAGGGAAGAAAACAUAUCAAGAGACCGAACCGGGCGGGAAGAAAUAUUACCCCCCCCAAAAAAUCCCGAGGGAAUAUUGGAAAAUAAAAACCCAGAAUGUUGAAAAAAACAAACAGGAGAAAAAAACGAUAAAGAACUGUGAACUCGGAGGAAAAAUUGACCAAGACCUGGGAACUGGGACAAACGUACUUAAUAAACGCAAAACAAAUAAAGAUAAUGAAAAAGAACAUCGAACAGACAAAAGAAAAUAUUGAUAAAAGAGACAAAAGGCGAGAGGAUGCACCGGGUAUUCGAUAUAUAUGCAAGUUCGAAAUAUGCGCAUUCGCUUAUAUGCGACUAACCAAAAUGUCCCACGUUUUGGUUUUAUGCGAGAAGGCGGCGGGUGCAAAUGUUUUCCCGCACUUAAGUUAAUCCUUAGGUAUCUAAUUGUCAGCUUAAAUCCUUAGGUAUCUAAUCGUCAGCUUAAAUCCUUAGGUAGCUAAUUGUCAGCUUAAAUCCUUAGGUAUCUAAUCGUCAGCUUAAAUCCUUAGGUAUCUAAUCGUCAGCUUAAAUCCUUAGGUAGCUAAUUGUCAGCUUAAAUCCUUAGGUAGCUAAUUGUCAGCUUAAAUCCUUAGGUAUCUAAUCGUCAGCUUAAAUCCUUAGGUAGCUAAUCGUCAGCUUAAAUCCUUAGGUAGCUAAUUGUCAGCUUAAAUCGUAGACUUUGGGUGUGUCUCCCCGGAAGCAAUCAGCAGCUCUGGGUUGUCAGACUCGGAGAAGCUCUACUCUGAAUGGGGUACAUAUAACUUCGAGUAUAAUAUCUAUGUCCUAAUGUCCCUUCAGUAAGAUUCAAAAAACGUAUUUUCAUAUUAUAAUCUAUAGGUCAUCUGUACUAAUGUGCUUUAUUGUGAAACGGUGCCGGAAUAGAUAGUUAGAGGGUUCGACAACGGGUCUUGGAAGAUAACCUCCUAUAAUUAAUGGGAUGAUUGGUUCUAUAUAUGCGAAUUCAUAUUAUGCGAGCUUUUUGCAGAACGUAAUCCUCGCAUAUAACAAAUACCUGGUGUAUAAUUGGUUCUUCUACUGCUGGUGGUGGUGACGGAGGCGGUGCAGGUGCUGGAGACGUCGGUUAGCGCGUGACCCACUAGUAGAGAAGUCCAACAAGGGCGGCACAGGAGCAGCAUCAGGCCGGGGAGGGGCAGAGUCGGGUCGUUGAACAAGCCUUCGAGACGUGGGGGAUUAGCCGAGUUGGGAGGAGUUGGAAAAUUAGGGAUUACACUACACGAGAAGAAGAAGAAGAAGAAGAAGAAGAAGAAGAAGAAGAGGAAGAAGAAGAAGAAGAAGAAGAAGAAGAAGAAGAAGAUGAAGAAGAAGAAGAAGAUGAAGAACAAGAACAAGAAGAAGAAGAAGAAGAAGAAGAAGAAGAAGAAGAAGAAGAAGAAGAAGAAGAAGAAGAAGAAGAAGAAGAAAAAGAAGAAAAAAAUGAUGAUGAAGAAGAAAAGCAGAAAAAAAGAUGAGGUUGAAGAAGAUGAAAAAGAAGAUUACAAGGAAAAGGAAAGCAGCAACAUAAAGAACUACUUAAAGACAAGAAGAAGGAAGUAUAAGGAAGAGAAGAUAGGAAGGAUAUAAGCGGGAAGAAAGAGGAGGAGGAGAAGGACGAGGACGAGAUAACUUAGAGAAAAAGAAAAAAGGAACAAAAAGGAAUAGAAGGAGAGAGAAAGGAUAUAAAGAAGAAGCACCAAAGAGGAAAAAAAAGAAGAAGGAGAAGAAGAAGGAGGAGGAGGGAAAAGAAAAGUAAGAAAAAGAAGAACUACAAACAAAACAAAGAGGAAAGGGGAAGAAGGAUAAAAGUGACCACCAGCAAAGAAGAAAGAAGGAUAAGGAGGAGGAAGAGGCAGAAAAGUAGAGAGAAGAAGGAAGAGGAGGAGGAGAGAGAGAGGAAGGAAAACACGGAGAGGAGGAAGGUGGGGGAAACAGGAAAGAGAAAUGGAGAAGCGUGAAGCAACAGGAAGAUAAAAUGGAGUAGUGGGAAGAGACGGAGAAGAGGGAGUUAGAAAGAAAAGGAGAGGAGGAGGAGAUAGUGGAGAAGGAUUAGGUUAGAGAGACAAGAGAAGCAUUACCAGACCAACGAAGAGGAAGAGGAGGAGGAGGAGGAGAAAGAGAAGAGAAAGAUAAAAAAACAACAGUAAGAGGAAAACAUGAGGAAGAAAGAAGGAAGAGAGAAGAAGGAAGAGGAGGAGGAGGAAGAUGUGGUGGAGUUGUUUGUUAAAAGAAUGAGAAAAGUGGAGACAAAAGGAAAAAGUGAGAAAGAAGAGAAGGAGGAAGAAGUGGAAAGAGGAGGAGGAGGAGGAGGAGGAGGUGGAGAAGAGUGGCAAGGAAGACAUAGUGGGAGGAAUAAGUCUGCGGAGGAGGAGGAGGAGGAGGAGGAAAGUGGAGAUAAAGAGGAUGAUGAGAGGAAGAGGAGGAGGAGGAGGAGGAGGAGGAGGAGGAGGAAGAGAGUGGUAUUAAAACUUAUUACUCGUGUGUGUGUGUGUGUGUGUGUGUGUGUGUGUGUGUGUGUGUGUGUGUCUAGGGUUACAAAAAAUAAGUGUAUAAAUAAAUAGGCUUAAGAUGGCGUGUG
Molecule: long non-coding RNA, 3675 nt
Organism: Eriocheir sinensis (Chinese mitten crab)
Lineage: Eukaryota; Metazoa; Arthropoda; Malacostraca; Decapoda; Varunidae
Exons: 3
Source: RefSeq, a predicted model, not a curated record